GCCAGGCAUGGUGGCGUACACCUGUAAUCCCAGCAGCUCUGGAGGCUGAGACAGGUGGAUUUCAGGUUCAAAGCCAGCCUCAGCAACGGUGAGGUGCUAAGCAACUCAGUGAGACCCCAUCUCUA
Molecule: small RNA, 125 nt
Filed under: Marmota monax (woodchuck)
Lineage: Eukaryota; Metazoa; Chordata; Mammalia; Rodentia; Sciuridae
Source: RNAcentral